CCUACGGGUGGCAGCAGUCGAGAAUCAUUCACAAUGGGGGAAACCCUGAUGGUGCGACGCCGCGUGGGGGAAUGAAGGUCUUCGGAUUGUAAACCCCUGUCAUGUGGGAGCAAAUUAAAAAGAUAGUACCACAAGAGGAAGAGACGGCUAACUCUGUGCCAGCAGCCGCGGUAAUACAGAGGUCUCAAGCGUUGUUCGGAAUCACUGGGCGGAAAGCGUGCGUAGGCUGUUUCGUAAGUCGUGUGUGAAAGGCGCGGGCUCAACCCGCGGACGGCACAUGAUACUGCGAGACUAGAGUAAUGGAGGGGGAACCGGAAUUCUCGGUGUAGCAGUGAAAUGCGUAGAUAUCGAGAGGAACACUCGUGGCGAAGGCGGGUUCCUGGACAGUAACUGACGCUGAGGCACGAAGGCCAGGGGAGCGAAAGGGAUUAGAUACCCGAGUAGUC
This 446-nucleotide ribosomal RNA is filed under the name uncultured bacterium. RNAcentral describes it as "partial 16S ribosomal RNA". It matches the Rfam family "Bacterial small subunit ribosomal RNA", at positions 338 to 795 of the family's 1533-position model. The record is from RNAcentral.